This 43-nucleotide ribosomal RNA is filed under the name Auricularia auricula-judae (jelly ear fungus). RNAcentral describes it as "partial 28S ribosomal RNA". Lineage: Eukaryota; Fungi; Basidiomycota; Agaricomycetes; Auriculariales; Auriculariaceae. The record is from RNAcentral.
GGCCUCAAAUCAGGUAGGACUACCCGCUGAACUUAAGCAUAUC